CCCAAGGAAAACCUCACCUUACCCUAUUCAUUAGAGGAAGCAUUACUAGAAGGCAGCCGAAAUAGCGACACCUACAACCAAGCCUAGGGGUAGUGCUAUAGCAACUUUUACAGUAGCUGUAAGCAAGAAAGGAAGAAGAGGAGCAGUAGCCCGGAGGCAUCAAAUGGCUAGCCGGCCAAGUGGCGGGGGCGGCCCCCCCACCGAGCCACUCGGGAGAAAGAGAAAAGAGUAAAGAAGAGGAAAACAAAAGGAGA
This 254-nucleotide long non-coding RNA is filed under the name Oryza brachyantha (malo sina). RNAcentral describes it as "long non-coding RNA (OBRA_LNC002241)". Lineage: Eukaryota; Viridiplantae; Streptophyta; Magnoliopsida; Poales; Poaceae. The record is from RNAcentral.